Molecule: transfer RNA, 71 nt
Filed under: Heliconius melpomene (postman butterfly)
Lineage: Eukaryota; Metazoa; Arthropoda; Insecta; Lepidoptera; Nymphalidae
Description: tRNA HMEL017530
Rfam family: tRNA
About the family: Transfer RNA (tRNA) molecules are approximately 80 nucleotides in length. Their secondary structure includes four short double-helical elements and three loops (D, anti-codon, and T loops).
Source: RNAcentral
GCAUCGGUGGUUCAGUGGUAGAAUGCUCGCCUGCCACGUGGGCAGCCCGGGUUCAAUUCCCGGCCGAUGCA